CCGUCCUUGGGGUAGUUACGGUCCGUCUAAGGUCUUAAACUCAAAGGAAUUGACGGGGCCCGCACAAGCGGCGGAGCAUGCGGAUUAAUUCGAUGCAACGCGAAGAACCUUACCAAGGCUUGACAUUCAGGGUAAACCAUCAGAAAUGGUGGUCCGCAAGGGAUCUUGAACAGGUGGUGCAUGGUUGUCGUCAGCUCGUGUCGUGAGAUGUUGGGUUAAGUCCCGCAACGAGCGCAACCCUCGUUC
RNAcentral lists this ribosomal RNA (246 nucleotides) under uncultured bacterium. RNAcentral's name for it is "partial 16S ribosomal RNA". It matches the Rfam family "Bacterial small subunit ribosomal RNA", at positions 875 to 1110 of the family's 1533-position model. The record is from RNAcentral.